RNAcentral lists this unclassified non-coding RNA (337 nucleotides) under soil metagenome. RNAcentral describes it as "partial contains 5.8S ribosomal RNA, internal transcribed spacer 2, and large subunit ribosomal RNA". The stretch from base 1 to 120 matches the Rfam family "5.8S ribosomal RNA", at positions 35 to 154 of the family's 154-position model. The record is from RNAcentral.
GAUGAAGAACGUAGCGAAAUGCGAUAAGUAAUGUGAAUUGCAGAAUUCAGUGAAUCAUCGAAUCUUUGAACGCACAUUGCGCCCGGUAGUAUUCUGCCGGGCAUGCCUGUUCGAGCGUCAUUUCAACCAUCAAGCCCCAGCGCUUGUGUUGGGGGCCUGCGGCUGCCGCAGCCCCCUAAAAGCAGUGGCGGGCUCGCUGUCACACCGAGCGUAGUAGAUUUUCAUCUCGCUCAGGGCGUGCUGCGGGUUCCGGCCGUAAAAAGCCUUAUUUACCCAAGGUUGACCUCGGAUCAGGUAGGAAGACCCGCUGAACUUAAGCAUAUCAAUAAGCGGAGGA